AGUGGCGCACGGGUGAGUAACAUGUGGGAAUCUACCUAAAGGUUCGGAAUAACUGCGGGAAACUGUAGCUAAUACCGGAUGUGUCUGCAAAGAGAAAGAUUUAUCGCCUUUAGAUGAGCCCGCACUAGAUUAGCUUGUUGGUAAGGUAAUGGCUUACCAAGGCUCCGAUCUUUAGCUGGUUUGAGAGGAUGAUCAGCCACACUGGGACUGAGACACGGCCCAGACUCCUACGGGAGGCAGCAGUAGGGAAUAUUGGACAAUGGGGGAAACCCUGAUCCAGCAAUGCAGCGUGAGUGACGAAGGCCUUAGGGUUGUAAAACUCUUUCAUCGGUGAGGAUAAUGACAGUAGCCGAAGAAGAAGGACCGGCUAAUUCCGUGCCAGCAGCCGCGGUAAUACGGAAGGUCCUAGCGUUGUUCGGAAUUACUGGGCGUAAAGCGCAUGUAGGCGGAACAAAAAGUUAGAAGUGAAAUCCCUGGGCUCAACCUAGGAAUGGCUUUUAAAACUUUUGUUCUGGAAUUCAGGAGAGGAAAAUGGAAUUUCCAGUGUUAAGGUGAAAUUCGUAAAUAUUGGAAGGAACA
This 579-nucleotide ribosomal RNA is filed under the name uncultured marine bacterium. RNAcentral's name for it is "bacterial SSU rRNA". It matches the Rfam family "Bacterial small subunit ribosomal RNA", at positions 94 to 708 of the family's 1533-position model. The record is from RNAcentral.